AGUUAAGUAUAUAAAGUAUAGUAAGGAAGUUAACUGUCGUAGUGUCUAACAUAUUAUCAUGGAUUCUAUUUUUUGAUGUAAGGUUGUUAGUUAAUGAAUCUUGAACAAUGACGAUUAUUGAAAAAUUAAAUAUCCAGACUGAAAUGUGCAGAAGUCAAGAACCUCAACAAAGAGUAUAUGUGCUUGCUGCUGAAAAGUUUUGAAAAGUACACAUUAUCAUAAGCAGUAAAGAAACAAAACGAAAAAAUAUGGGUGAUCAAAGGAAAAGUUUAAUCUUUUCACACGAAAAGCGAGUACAGUUGAGACUGGAGUUUAAGCCAGGAUCAAGCUCCAAACGAGUCCAAAUUCCGUCUUCUGUCCCUGGAGUAUGCUAUCAUGUACCUACAGAACAUUGGCUUACAAAAAGCAAACAGACUUCUGGGAAACUGAAGGUUUCUCCUGAAGAAGUAAGAGUUU
This is a long non-coding RNA of Limulus polyphemus (Atlantic horseshoe crab), 456 nucleotides long. RefSeq lists it as uncharacterized. The record is from RefSeq and is a predicted model, not a curated record. The transcript is spliced from 4 exons. NCBI's taxonomy places the organism in Eukaryota, Metazoa, Arthropoda, Merostomata, Xiphosura, Limulidae.